This 301-nucleotide ribosomal RNA is filed under the name uncultured bacterium. Its description in RNAcentral is "partial 16S ribosomal RNA". It matches the Rfam family "Bacterial small subunit ribosomal RNA", at positions 509 to 807 of the family's 1533-position model. The record is from RNAcentral.
CAGUAGCCGCGGUAAUACGUAGGGGGCAAGCGUUAUCCGGAUUUACUGGGUGUAAAGGGAGCGCAGGCGGUCUGGCAAGUUGAGAGUGGAAGCAGGGGGCUCAACCCCCUGACUGCUCCCAAAACUGUUGGACUGGAGUAUGGGAGAGGCAGGCGGAAUUCCUAGUGUAGCGGUGAAAUGCUCAGAUAUUAGGAAGAACACCGGUGGCGAAGGCGGCCUGCUGGACCAAAACUGACGCUGAGGCUCGAGAGCGUGGGGAGCGAACAGGAUUAGAUACCCCAGUAGUCCCUGUCUCUUAUAC